UUGAAAAGAAGGAGAUAAGCAUUAAAUAAAUCAUACAACUGUAUUAUCCUACGACUAACUGCAUUAAAAUACCGGUAUUUGUUUGAAGUCAUUAGCAAAAUUCAUUAAUGAAAUAAUGCUAAAAUAAUGUACGAAUGCCUCACUCCACCAUUACCACUCGGUCCACUCCAACACAAGGAGGCGCGGUGGCUUCAUGGUUAGUGGGCUCGUCUCCGGAUCCAGUGGUCAGGGUUAGAGCCCUGACUGGGGACAUUCUACACUUUACUCUUACAGUGCCUUUCUCUGCCCAGGUGUCUAAAUGGUGACCGGCGAACUUAAUGCUGGGGGAGCCCUACAAUGGACCAGUAUCCCAUCUAGGGGGGAGUAGAAAUACUCCUAGUCACUUCAUGCUACUGAAACUGGGAUAAGCUCCGGCCUGAUGGGCCACUUGGCUUGUAUGCAGGCUUAACCUUUACCCACUCCAACACAUCGCCUCUUCCACGAGGAAUUGUUUUCGCUGUAAACCACAUUCAAAUCUUACGUAUACACGUACAGUGUACCUUUGAAAAUUGCUUUUAUCUGUCUUCGUUCAUCUCGGCUCAUAAUUCUGUCCUCCUCUUUCACAACUGUGUAUGGCGUUUCAAGUUGCACCACACCUAGUUAGUCUGCAUUGUGUGAUUGCCUAGUGCCCUCUCCUUGGUGUCCUCUCCCUGGUGCCCAACUAUCCAUCUUGGAAAAAUACUGUACCCUUGCAAGAAGCCUGCGUUGCAGCCUAAGCGGAGACCAGGUAGGGAGGAAAACACGCGAGGAGAAAGGGGAGGAACUCUCUCUCCCGCCCCUCCCUCUUCCAUCUACGCUCUCCCUCUCACGCUCAGUACCCUAGCUACCUUGCGAGUACAUUACCCUUUUACUUCUGGUUGUUUAGUUCUAAUAUCUUGUAUUUCUCUCGUUACAUCUUCUAGGUUUAUUUUGAGGACUCUACUGGGGAAAAGUUAUGUUUGGUAGAGAGCAAUAGCUGCCUCAAAGAUAUUCUUUCAGACUCCAGGUUGGUAGUAAAACAAAGAACACCUUCAUUUAUAAUUCUCAGUAAAGAAUCUUCAUUCCGGGCAAGUUUUCUUCAGCGUUAUCAAGUGGAGCGAUGACAUGACAUAACCCAAUUCGACGUCGGGAAAAGUCGAGCUUGCCUUCGUCGGAUCCUCGUGAAAUACCGAAGAGCUUCCGAUUGUCCUCGUCUAGUCAAAACAUAGCGCGAUAACUGACAAGCACUCCGUCGUCAGCUCGGCGUCAUACGCCCACGUCAUCAUGUUGCCAAGCAACAGCUGUGUCGUGAACCGCGGGCUCGGCUGAUUCUGAACCAAGCUGUCAGAUUCUGCGACGAACAAAGGAUGACGAAAACGGAAAAAGGCCCCUCCUUACAAUAUUUCCUCGCUUUGUCUUGUAUUUCUUAUUUCUAAGUACCUUCACUGAUGGGGAAAGCAAAGGAUUUGUGAUAUUUCCAAAACUGUCCGUCGCUCUACACAUCACACAAUGAGAAGAUUUAUUAUGCAUAUUGCAUAAAUUAAAUAUUAUUUAUUCUUUUCAGUUCCUGCUCCCUGAAAAUUUCAGUUAUAAAUAUGGCCAGCAUAUAAAUUUCCAAAUUUCAGAUUUAAAAUUUAAAACAAAUUACUGCAUCUUAAAAUUCGUGUCACUCGAAAGACAUGUCUCAUCAUGAAAUAUAAACAAACACAUUUACUCCA
This 1715-nucleotide long non-coding RNA is filed under the name Orbicella faveolata. RNAcentral describes it as "uncharacterized LOC110057333". The record is from RNAcentral. Lineage: Eukaryota; Metazoa; Cnidaria; Anthozoa; Scleractinia; Merulinidae.